Molecule: long non-coding RNA, 4239 nt
Organism: Canis lupus familiaris (dog)
Lineage: Eukaryota; Metazoa; Chordata; Mammalia; Carnivora; Canidae
Exons: 3
Source: RefSeq, a predicted model, not a curated record
UCAGUCCUGCAGCGUUGCACCGCGGGCCUCUGGUGGGGUGGCCGCCAGCCCGCAGCGCCAGGCGCCUCCGCGUCCCUCUGGGACCCCACCCUGCCCCUGGGGCGACGGGCAGCGCUUGCCCUGCUCUGGAAUCCGGAGGAGCUGAGGGCCUGAGCCCCAGCCCAGGCUGCACAACGGGCCGGGAAGCCUCGGGCGCCACCCUCCCGCGCAUGGGCUUGGACAAGCCCCAUCACCGAGCCUCCACUGCCACAGGCCUAACACAGGGACGUCAGCAAUCCCUACUUGGGAAAGCUGCUGAGACGGCUAAGAAGGAGUUGUAUCACUGUCCUCCAGCUCCCCAGCCCCAUGCAAGCCACCUGCACCCACCUCCCUGAGCCUCAGUCUCCCUAGCCAUAAAAUAGGGAUGAGAGAAGUCCAUACAGGGCUCCCCACAGGAGAUCUCUCCACGGAGGAGACGGCAGCAGCUGCCUGGCACCCCUCAGCUCUCAGGAAAAGCAGCUCCUGGGGUUGCCAUGAAAGCUCAGCAGAGCGCCCCAGAGCCUGGCCCCAUGCCUGUGUUCCAGAAGCCCACAGCUUGUCGCAGCCCAGUUGGGGAGCUGCUGGCCUACAGCUCAGCUGGAGCUCCCUGUCACCCCUGCCUCCAAUGGGACACUCCCGUGCAGCUCACAGGUGACUACCAGACAGUGCCCACCUACCCCCCCCCACACCGGCCUCGGCGCCCUCUAUGCUUGAGUCACUGGGCAAAAGCAUUCAGCUUUCUGACCCCAUCCAAAAAAAAUGAAAAUGUCCCAGGCGUCUAAUCCUUCCCUUCCUUUUGGCAACUGAUACCGCCCUGAAACAUAACCAAGGUACUGAAAAUGCAGCAUGGGGGUUCCACCCGGGAGUAGUGGCUUCCUGCAAAGCCGGCCCUGGGACUUGGGGAGCAAAGCAACACCUCGGGUCAGACUCAGCCGUGCCAGGUACGAGAUGGCCCCUGACUCCCACCAGCCCACAUCACAGCAUGUUCCCCAACCGGCCACAAUCUGAGGGGCACACCAAGAACCCUGACGUCCUUCCCAACCAGGGCUGCUGCCUGCCCCCAGAGCCACCCCCCAAAAAAGAUUUGGAAUGGUCUUUGAAAUGAGAUUAAUCCUCAGUUCUCUGACAGUGUCUUUGGGCAUGUGUUUUUAUAACCUCUCUUUCAAAUGAGAACCAUUUGUCGCCGGGAAGCUGGGGAGGCCCAGCCUCAACCACUGGGCCAGACAUCACUGGCACCUGAUUGAAUGUCAAGGACAGUGCAGGGGGCGGGGCUAAAGUGAGGGCAGGAUGGAAGCAGCAGCCAUAACCUGUCCUCUGCUGAUCUCUGCCCCAUCCCCGGCCCCAACCCUGCCUGUCCCCCACACCAGCUGCAUAGACUUGAGCUAGUGACUCGGCCUCUCUCGACCUUACUUUCCUCCUCUGUAAAAUGGGAGGGGUGGUGGCACUUAUCUUCCAGGUCAUGUGCCCAGCUCUGUGCCUGGAAGACAGCAGAUCCUCGACGUUGAAGGAGGCUUCUGAGCACAGGCUUGCCCCCCACCCCCAGCCUUGCCCUGGGGACUCCUGGUUGGAAGGCAAGUGCUCCUGGCUGGGGCCUUCCAGAGGCCUGCACAACUCCACGCUCAGUGUGGCUCCAGCCUCCUCCACCUCCCAGGCUCAGCCCCAGGAGCUUGAUGCUUGUGGAACCAGGGCUCGAAGGAGGGACUCGGAUGAGCUCAGAACUCAGAAUUCCACCUGGGCCUGUCAGAUUCCGCAGCCCCGCUGGCAGGAAGGGAGCAGGGGACAGCAAGCCGCAGGUUCCCGAGACCAUGCCUGCCGCGGUCCCCGAAUCCGUUCACUCCCAAGGAGCUGCUUAGAAACAAUGCCACCGUCACCAGCACCCCCUCCCCGGGCAGGGCCACGCUUGUCCAGUGGAAAUCUUGGACGCCUAAUGACAUAUUUCUGUCCGGGAAGAAAUCUGAACUCUGAAACCGAACUUGAUUAAACCCCAAACUGCAAGACCUUGCCCGAUGGGACCACUCGGGGACUUUGACUUCUGGGUGUCAGAGCUUAAUUAAAAUAUUCAUCCAGCUGCUCUCCCCUCACCAAGGGGGCCCAGAGGAAUUAAACCAAUAAGCUUAAUUCUAUUAUUCACCUGCCUGUGUACACAGAGAUGCAGAAGACCAUUUACUGGUUCAGAAAAAAAUUAUCAGACGCACCCUGCAAAUGCAGCGUGGGCCGUUCCUGAAUCACGAAAUGGUCCCCUAAACAGAGGUCUACACAGCACUCUGGAGUCUCAGCCCCUGACUCCACACGCACACACAGCUAGUUUUAAUCUCCCUUCCAAGCAAACAAAAAUGCCAAGCAAGUCACUGUAAGGACUUCUGUGCGUAUUAUGAUUUAUGUAUCAUUUAUAACAACACGUAACAUUUACUGAAUUCUCUGUGCCACUGUGCCAAGCCUUCCCCAUUUGGCUCUCACGGAAAUCUUCAUUUCCAGUCCACAAAGUGAACACCACUAUUACCCCCACUUGGCAGAUAAGAAAACCAAGGCUCCGUGAGAUAAAGGGACUUGCAGCCCUGAACUCCCAGGCCACAAAGUCUGAGUUCCUAACUCCUGGAAAUGAGGGCUUCACUGACAUUUUGAUCUUUCUGCGUUACAUUUUAAUUAACUUAUCUUCUAUCCACACACACAGGAUACAAUGCAGAAGGUACAGAGGCCGGGAAGGCCAAAGUCAUUCUCAGGCCCUCCCUUCCUCAGCCCCCUGGUUCCCUCCUCAAAGCAGCCGCUGGGGACAAAUCCCCGUGUCUCCUCCCAGAGCUGAGGCUUAUUCCAGCAAAUACAGGUCUAUUGGUUUGUUUGUUUUUUUUGUUUUUUUUUUUUUAAACCGCAUGUGGAGCAUAACAGGUACGCUAUUUUGCAACUUGCUUUUUUCGUUUCAUAAAAUAUCUUGGAGAGUCCUCCACCUCGUCCCUGACGGCAUGCCAUUCCAUUCAAUAGACAUAAUAGACUGAACCGGGAGAUGGUCAAUAUCCAGCCAGGUUUGACCAGCAAAACCAGUUUGCCAGUUUUGCUGGUCAAAACUGGCCACUUAACAUGGUUCUGCUUUAUAUAGAUAUUUUUUAACCUAGUUUCCUGUGAUCCAUGCUUAGAUGGUUUCCUGCCUUUUGCACCUAAAACGGCGCUGUGUUAAAUAUCUUCUCACACACAGGUAUUCUCUGUAGGACAGGUUCCUACAAAUACCACUACCUGUGAUGUGGGGACGGCAAGUCCCCGCUCUUGGCCUGAAGUCUUCGAAAUGCAGCGGCCACACUGGAUCAUCUCUCAAGCCCUGGCAGGCUCCAUUGUUCUGCCAGACGGUAACCCCCACGUCUGUAACGCUGCAUCGGAGCGGUCACCCACCACCAUCCCAUGGAACACAACCACGGCUUCAGCUCAGGGUCCCCCCCAAAUCACUGUGAAAACAAAUGUUUUCCAGCAAACACGAACUCCCUCCCUGCUGACUGUAUUUGUCAGCCAGGGAAUGAGACAUUUCCCCGUGAUCAAUACAAAUGGAAUAGAAAUCUAUCCCAGGCAGCAGCAGCAAGACUUGGUUUUUUUAAUAAGGGGACCUCCAGAGGAUAUUGCAUUCCUAUGACAACAGCCGACAGACCUUGACUUUUAGUGUCAGAACCUGUUUAAUGCAGAGGUCUGCGGCUGGGGCCCAGCCGAGCCGUGGGUGGGGGUCUCAGGCUCAAAAAGGACUGGUUCCUGAAGGCUGCUGCAGAAACCAGCCCACUGCCCCGGCCCGGUGCCUGGCCUCGGCCCCCGGGCCACCUGUUCACAAAGGCAGCCGGAUUUGCCAGCUGGGCUGUGGCGGAGCUGCUGAGGCCGCUGGGCUGGGCUGGGCUGGCCGGAGGUGAGCUGCAGCCACAGAGCCGGUUAUUUACGGCUCGCCAGUGGUCCCCGACGACUAGGCAUCUCCGGGAUGAUGGCAAUUCGCCUUAAACAAGACCAGGUACCUGGCCAAAGGUGGCAGCGAGCAUGAGCAACUGUACUGACCUUGUUGUAAAUUAAUCUGGUAAUAGAGCGACUCAAAGAGACACCCUGAGUUGGUUACUGUGUGAAAAGACUUUGAGACGGGCCAGCUAUGAACUGUCCAGGACAAAGUAGAGGUUCUGUAAACACGAUGCUUGCCCAAACAGCCUAGGUGCCUCUGAGUUGGGUCUCCGGAUUCUUCUGCCUCUUUUAAAAUUAUCUGCUGAU